UACGAAGGGGGCUAGCGUUGCUCGGAAUCACUGGGCGUAAAGCGCACGUAGGCGGAUCUUUAAGUCAGGGGUGAAAUCCUGGAGCUCAACUCCAGAACUGCCUUUGAUACUGGGGAUCUCGAGUCCGGAAGAGGUGAGUGGAACUCCGAGUGUAGAGGUGAAAUUCGUAGAUAUCCGGAAGAACACCAGUGGCGAAGGCGGCUCACUGGUCCGGUACUGACGCUGAGGUGCGAAAGCGUGGGGAGCAAACAGG
RNAcentral lists this ribosomal RNA (253 nucleotides) under uncultured bacterium. Its description in RNAcentral is "partial 16S ribosomal RNA". It matches the Rfam family "Bacterial small subunit ribosomal RNA", at positions 524 to 776 of the family's 1533-position model. The record is from RNAcentral.